GCCCUCGUGGCGGAAUGGCAGACGCGGCAGAUUUAGGUUCUGUUGGGAGACCGUGCAGGUUCAACUCCUGUCGAGGGCA
This 79-nucleotide transfer RNA is filed under the name Clostridiales bacterium. Its description in RNAcentral is "tRNA-Leu". It matches the Rfam family "tRNA". From Rfam's summary of the family: Transfer RNA (tRNA) molecules are approximately 80 nucleotides in length. Their secondary structure includes four short double-helical elements and three loops (D, anti-codon, and T loops). Further hydrogen bonds mediate the characteristic L-shaped molecular structure. tRNAs have two regions of fundamental functional importance: the anti-codon, which is responsible for specific mRNA codon recognition, and the 3' end, to which the tRNAs corresponding amino acid is attached (by aminoacyl-tRNA synthetases). tRNAs cope with the degeneracy of the genetic code in two manners: having more than one tRNA (with a specific anti-codon) for a particular amino acid; and 'wobble' base-pairing, i.e. permitting non-standard base-pairing at the 3rd anti-codon position. Lineage: Bacteria; Bacillati; Bacillota; Clostridia; Eubacteriales. The record is from RNAcentral.